AAAUGCUCGUAGUUGGUCUUAAGUGCGGUUUAGAUUAUUUCUCAAUGAAAAAAACUUUUACAAAGUCCUUCCUAGAUCAGAAACUUAGAUGUGUUUGUGAAAGGGUAGCUUUUAUCGUGAAUAAAUUAAGGUGUUUAAGACAAGUUCUUGUUUUGUAUAUAUUAGCAUGGAAUAAGAAGUUAAAAUGCUAAUUUACUGGCUAAUGAUUGCUGUACGAGAUUAAUAGGGAUAGUCGGAGGCAUUCGUACUUCAUUGGGAGAGGUGGAAUUCUUGGAUCAUUGUCGGACGCACUUCUGCGAAAGCAUCUGCCAAGGAUGUUCUCGUUGAUCAUGGGCGAGAGUUGAGGUUUCGAAGGCGUUUAGAUACCGCUGUAGUCUCAACUUUAAACGAUAUCGACCAGGGAGCGGUUUUAUUAAGUAUUAAUAGUAUCGGAUUCUAGCGAGAAAUCAGAGUUUUUGGGUUCUGGGGGGAGUAUGGUCGCAAGUCUGAAACUUAAAGGAAUUGACGACUGGGCACCACAAGGCGUGGAGCCUGCGGCUUAAUUUGACUCAACACGGGGAACAUUACCAGGUCUACAUAUAGGUAGGAUGGACAGUGGAGAAGCCCUUUCCUGAUUCUAUGGAUAGUGGUGCAUGGCCGUUUUUAGCUGGUGGGUUGCCUUGUCAGGUUGGUUCCGGUAACGAGCGAGACCUCUACUCACUAAUUAGAAUGUGUAUUAAUGAUUUUGUCUCAUAGCUUCUUAGAAGGAAUAUUGUCUAAAGGCAUUGGAAGAUAGAGGCCAUAACAGGUCUGUGAUGCCCUUCAAUGUUCUGGGCAGCACGCGCGCUACACUGAUGUA
Molecule: ribosomal RNA, 838 nt
Filed under: uncultured marine eukaryote
Lineage: Eukaryota
Description: bacterial SSU rRNA
Rfam family: Eukaryotic small subunit ribosomal RNA
Source: RNAcentral